Molecule: long non-coding RNA, 1069 nt
Organism: Salvia splendens (bonfire salvia)
Lineage: Eukaryota; Viridiplantae; Streptophyta; Magnoliopsida; Lamiales; Lamiaceae
Exons: 3
Source: RefSeq, a predicted model, not a curated record
AAGAGUUAGAUAGAUUGGAAUGUCUGCCAGAAUGGUUUUUUCAUAACAAUCAGGAUCUCUCAUAUUUGUAUAUAUCAGAAUGUCGUGUGUUGAGAGAAUUACCAGAUGGCUUGGACACCCUCCAUUCUUUGGAGAAAUUGUUUAUUUUUAUUGUGAGAAUCUGAAGUCGAUUGGUAAUCCAAGUGGUGGAGGAAGGCAAUCACAGGCGAUCCUCCGUCAGCUGAUUAUUAAAGAAUGCGGAGAGCUGAUGGAAUUGCCGUGUGAAAUGCUAGAGUCGUGGGCACCUACAAUUGAGGAACUUGAAUUGGCGAAUUGGAAGGAUUAAGGAGGCUAAAGAAUCUACCAAUGCUAAUUGACUGCCUCGCUAAAUCCUCUACUCGUCUCACACGGUUAACAAUCAGAGGUGUUCCUAAAUUGAAGGGUGCUAGUAGUGGUAGUGUUGAGGGUUGGGAUUUAGCAGCCUGAAAGAAUUACAGAUAGAUGUGAGUGUGGAAUGGUCAAGAGAGGAUAGUGUUGGCAUUGCAGAGACUGUGGAAGGGAUGUUGCGAGGAUGCUGCUACUCACUUACUGGUUACAAUUGAAGGGGAUGGAAAAUUGGGAGUGGCUGCCCCAAUCAAUUCAACAUCUCACCUCUGUUUAUGUAUUAAUAUUGGAGAAUAUAGGAGUAGAAGAAUUGCCCCAAUGGUUGUGGAACCACUCAUCUCUAAGACAGUUAUGUCUAUAUAGUUGCAACAAGUUGAAGCGUCUGCCCUCUGUGGAUGAUUCGAAUAAAUUAAAAGGGUUAUCUAUUAGAGAUUGUCCGGAGCUACGCAUUGAUUCGGAGUGGCGCAGCCACCAUGACCAUCUGAAAAUCUAUGUUGAUGGCCAGCCCGUGUGAAUGUUUUAGCAAUUCUAGCUGACGAGCUUAGAAAGUCACGGUCUCAGAAUGACUUGAUAUUCGCACAAGACUGUGAAACAAACUAAGGAAUGAAAAGUUGGAUUUCGCUGGAGUGUUGAUGCAUGUAUAGCAGGUGUGAUUCUGCUUGGAAUCCGGCAAUGGCUCCGUCGAUAGUUGGCGGGUGAGGCAAUG